This 497-nucleotide ribosomal RNA is filed under the name uncultured bacterium. RNAcentral describes it as "partial 16S ribosomal RNA". It matches the Rfam family "Bacterial small subunit ribosomal RNA", at positions 28 to 507 of the family's 1533-position model. The record is from RNAcentral.
GAUGAACGCUGGCGGCGUGCCUAAUACAUGCAAGUCGAGCGAACGGACGAGAAGCUUGCUUUUCUGAUGUUAGCGGCGGACGGGUGAGUAACACGUGGAUAACCUACCUAUAAGACUGGGAUAACUUCGGGAAACCGGAGCUAAUACCGGAUAAUAUUUUGAACCGCAUGGUUCAAUAGUGAAAGACGGUUUUGCUGUCACUUAUAGAUGGAUCCGCGCUGCAUUAGCUAGUUGGUAAGGUAACGGCUUACCAAGGCAACGAUGCAUAGCCGACCUGAGAGGGUGAUCGGCCACACUGGAACUGAGACCCGGUCCAGACUCCUACGGGAGGCAGCAGUAGGGAAUCUUCCGCAAUGGGCGAAAGCCUGACGGAGCAACGCCGCGUGAGUGAUGAAGGUCUUCGGAUCGUAAAACUCUGUUAUUAGGGAAGAACAAAUGUGUAAGUAACUGUGCACAUCUUGACGGUACCUAAUCAGAAAGCCACGGCUAACUACGUG